AGAACGAACGCUGGCGGCAUGCCUAACACAUGCAAGUCGAACGAGGGCCCCGCUUCGGUGGGACCCUAGUGGCGCACGGGUGAGUAACGCGUGGGAACCUGCCCUGUGGUACGGAAUAACUCCGGGAAACUGGAGCUAAUACCGUAUGUGUCCUUUGGGACAAAGAUUUAUCGCCAUGGGAUGGGCCCGCGUAGGAUUAGCUUGUUGGUGGGGUAACGCCUACCAAGGCAACGAUCCUUAGCUGGUCUGAGAGGAUGAUCAGCCACACUGGGACUGAGACACGGCCCAGACUCCUACGGGAGGCAGCAGUGGGGAAUAUUGGACAAUGGGCGCAAGCCUGAUCCAGCAAUGCCGCGUGAGUGAUGAAGGCCUUCGGUGUAAAGCUCUUUCGCACGCGACGAUGAUGACGUAGCGUGAGAAGAAGCCCGGCUAACUUCGUGCCAGCAGCCGC
Molecule: ribosomal RNA, 451 nt
Filed under: uncultured soil bacterium
Lineage: Bacteria
Description: bacterial SSU rRNA
Rfam family: Bacterial small subunit ribosomal RNA
Source: RNAcentral